Molecule: ribosomal RNA, 62 nt
Filed under: Bipolaris maydis (southern corn leaf blight pathogen)
Lineage: Eukaryota; Fungi; Ascomycota; Dothideomycetes; Pleosporales; Pleosporaceae
Description: partial 28S ribosomal RNA
Source: RNAcentral
UUGACCUCGGAUCAGGUAGGGAUACCCGCUGAACUUAAGCAUAUCAAAAGGCGGGAGGAAGA